This 444-nucleotide ribosomal RNA is filed under the name uncultured bacterium. RNAcentral describes it as "SSU rRNA". It matches the Rfam family "Bacterial small subunit ribosomal RNA", at positions 26 to 518 of the family's 1533-position model. The record is from RNAcentral.
AGAACGAACGCUGGCGGCAGGCUUAACACAUGCAAGUCGAGCGCCCCGCAAGGGGAGCGGCAGACGGGUGAGUAACGCGUGGGAACAUACCCUCCGGUACGGAAUAACUCAGGGAAACUUGAGCUAAUACCGUAUACGGCUGGAAGGCGAAAGAUUUAUCGCCGGAGGAUUGGCCCGCGUCCGAUUAGCUAGUUGGUGAGGUAAUGGCCCACCAAGGCGACGAUCGGUAGCUGGUCUGAGAGGAUGAUCAGCCGCAUUGGGACUGAGACACGGCCCAAACUCCUACGGGAGGCAGCAGUGGGGAAUAUUGGACAAUGGGCGAAAGCCUGAUCCAGCCAUGCCGCGUGAGUGAUGAAGGCCUUAGGGUUGUAAAGCUCUUUCACCCACGACGAUAAUGACGGUAGUGGGAGAAGAAGCCCCGGCUAACUUCGUGCCAGCAGCCGC